GAUGAACGCUGGCGGCGUGCCUAAUACAUGCAAGUCGAGCGAACAGACGAGGAGCUUGCUCCUCUGACUUUAGCGGCGGACGGGUGAGUAACACGUGGAUAACCUACCUAUAAGACUGGGAUAACUUCGGGAAACCGGAGCUAAUACCGGAUAAUAUAUUGAACCGCAUGGUUCAAUAGUGAAAGACGGUUUUGCUUUCACUUAUAGAUGGAUCCGCGCCGCAUUAGCUAGUUGGUAAGGUAACGGCUUACCAAGGCGACGAUGCGUAGCCGACCUGAGAGGGUGAUCGGCCACACUGGAACUGAGACACGGUCCAGACUCCUACGGGAGGCAGCAGUAGGGAAUCUUCCGCAAUGGGCGAAAGCCUGACGGAGCAACGCCGCGUGAGUGAUGAAGGUCUUCGGAUCGUAAAACUCUGUUAUUAGGGAAGAACAAAUGUGUAAGUAACUAUGCACGUCUUGACGGUACCUAAUCAGAAAGCCACGGCUAACUACGUG
Molecule: ribosomal RNA, 497 nt
Filed under: uncultured bacterium
Lineage: Bacteria
Description: partial 16S ribosomal RNA
Rfam family: Bacterial small subunit ribosomal RNA
Source: RNAcentral